UAUAAAGUGAUCUAGGGUUCCGGCAGUAUUGUCAUUUUAAACAUACUGCGGCUGUGACCGAGAGUUCACGGCUCAAUUGAGCUACACGGAGGGAUAAAAGCCCGGGAGGU
Molecule: small RNA, 110 nt
Filed under: Acinetobacter bouvetii
Lineage: Bacteria; Pseudomonadati; Pseudomonadota; Gammaproteobacteria; Moraxellales; Moraxellaceae
Description: Guanidine-I sequence
Rfam family: Guanidine-I riboswitch aptamer
About the family: This family represents a conserved RNA structure found upstream of the ykkC and yxkD genes in Bacillus subtilis and related genes in other bacteria. The function of this family is unclear although it has been suggested that it may function to switch on efflux pumps and detoxification systems in response to harmful environmental molecules. Nelson showed that this riboswitch senses and responds to guanidine and it was renamed Guanidine-I riboswitch.
Source: RNAcentral